RNAcentral lists this ribosomal RNA (253 nucleotides) under uncultured bacterium. Its description in RNAcentral is "partial 16S ribosomal RNA". It matches the Rfam family "Bacterial small subunit ribosomal RNA", at positions 524 to 776 of the family's 1533-position model. The record is from RNAcentral.
UACGUAGGGUGCAAGCGUUAUCCGGAAUUAUUGGGCGUAAAGAGCUCGUAGGCGGUUUGUCGCGUCUGCUGUGAAAACUGGAGGCUCAACCUCCAGCCUGCAGUGGGUACGGGCAAACUAGAGUGCGGUAGGGGAGAUUGGAAUUCCUGGUGUAGCGGUGGAAUGCGCAGAUAUCGGGAGGAACACCGGUGGCGAAGGCGGUUCUCUGGGCCUUACCUGACGCUGAGGAGCGAAAGCGUGGGGAGCGAACAGG